GCGACCCCAGGUCAGGCGGGACUACCCGCUGAGUUUAAGCAUAUCAAAA
Molecule: ribosomal RNA, 49 nt
Filed under: Carthamus tinctorius (safflower)
Lineage: Eukaryota; Viridiplantae; Streptophyta; Magnoliopsida; Asterales; Asteraceae
Also listed under: 2 other names
Description: partial 26S ribosomal RNA
Source: RNAcentral